CUGUACUGGUAACAUCCAGAUAACUCCUAAAUAGUAGAAAAUUGCUAAAGCCAAGCAAACCUUAUCUUACUGCUUUUCUACACUGUCACUGGGCAAGCUGAUGACUGAAAGAACAGGAAAGGAGUCUACUAGAUUGUUCAUCAUUCACACCUAUUUGGGAACCUCACCACAAGGGCUGAAGGGAAUCAACUUGGAUAGGUGGAAGAAGAACAUAAAACCUGACAUUCACUUGCCUGGUAAGGAGAGCUUUCCAACCAGGAACACAGAUUUCCCUUGGUGGUUGCAGCAUUUGCUGUGUCACUGAACCCAUCUGCUGCACAACUGUCAGGAUUGUGGCACUUCAAACACACAGGGGCAGAAGUACCAUUCCUUUGACAAGUACUUACUCAGCAGAUUAAAAGUCACUAAACCAAAAGGCAUCAAGGACCUGGAGCCCUGGGUCUGGAGUACACAAAAUAUUGCAAUUACAACUGCUUCUAAAUCUCAGCUGGUUUCUCCCUAAUACUUAAGAGACCAGUGGAAAGAAGCAGCUACAACAAUGUGUCCAAAGGUCAGGAAAAGCCUGGAUCUAUGUCUGAAGUAAUUCAUGGAAGAACAGCAAUGAAAAUCAAAGGAAGAAAUGAAAUGGCUUCCACUGUUACUCCAGGUCACCAGGAGAGGCUCAACCAAGCAGUGACUUAACAUUAACAUGUAUCAGCACAUAUGGACAAUUCCAGUCAGGCCAGGAAUUGUUUUUCCUGUGGCCAUGAGGAAAGUUAACCAUUGCAACCCAAGUCAUCUGACUUUUUUUUUUCCCAAGGAGCAGAAUUUCCUUUCUUCUUCUGGAGAAGUUUUCAUUUUGUGAGGGAGUGUGUUUACGAUAGAUUCCCACAUCAGAAAUGGUGACAUCAGUGAUUCCUUUUGCAAUUUCCCAUCAGUACCCUGGGGACAGGGCUGGCCUUCCUUUGUCAGUGUGUGCUGAAAUCUGGGGACAGCAGGUGCAGUAACACACCAAGUGCAAGUGCUUUCACCAGGCUUUAAAACCAGGGAAAGUACAGGAGUUUCCUCAAUGCACAGCCUGUUCCAGGGUCUGCUCACCCUUAAUUUCAUGAAGCUUAAGAAGUGACAAUGUUGUGGUCCAGCAAUGACAGAAAGCAGUGACUCUGUUGCAAUAGCCAUUGUAAUGGAAGGAAGGUUGAUGUUCAACCCCAAACUAAGCAGGAACUGAGGUAUUUUUAAGUGUGCAGCCUGCAAGUCAUUCCUGUGGUUGCAAAGGGAAGAUGUGUGGAUUCCCUGGUUGGGUGCAAAUUAUCUCAUCUCCUGUU
RNAcentral lists this long non-coding RNA (1304 nucleotides) under Cyanistes caeruleus (blue tit). Its description in RNAcentral is "lncRNA (ENSCCEG00000002898.1)". Lineage: Eukaryota; Metazoa; Chordata; Aves; Passeriformes; Paridae. The record is from RNAcentral.